CCGUGAGGGUUGGGUUAAGUCCGCAACGAGCGCAACCCUAUUGUUAGUUGCCAUCACAUAAUGGUGGGCACUCUAAUGAGACUGCCCGGGUCAACCGGGAGGAAGGUGGGGACGACGUCAAGUCAUCAUGGCCCUUACGCCUAGGGCUACACACGUACUACAAUGGUGCAUACAAAGGGUUGCGAAACCGCGAGGUCAAGCCAAUCCCAAAAAAUGCAUCCCAGUCCGGAUCGGAGUCUGCAACUCGACUCCGUGAAGUUGGAAUCGCUAGUAAUCCCGGAUCAGCAUGCCGGGGUGAAUACGUUCCCGGGCCUUGUACACACCGCCCGUCACACCACGAAAGCUGGUUCUACCCGACAACGGCGGACUAACCCUUCGGGAGGUAGUCGUCUACGGUAGGGCUGGUGAUUGGGGUGAAGUCGUAACAAGGUACCA
This 435-nucleotide ribosomal RNA is filed under the name uncultured delta proteobacterium. Its description in RNAcentral is "bacterial SSU rRNA". It matches the Rfam family "Bacterial small subunit ribosomal RNA", at positions 1065 to 1501 of the family's 1533-position model. Lineage: Bacteria; Deltaproteobacteria. The record is from RNAcentral.